Molecule: small nuclear RNA, 86 nt
Organism: Heterocephalus glaber (naked mole-rat)
Lineage: Eukaryota; Metazoa; Chordata; Mammalia; Rodentia; Bathyergidae
Gene: U2
Rfam family: U2 spliceosomal RNA
About the family: U2 is a small nuclear RNA (snRNA) component of the spliceosome (involved in pre-mRNA splicing). Complementary binding between U2 snRNA (in an area lying towards the 5' end but 3' to hairpin I) and the branchpoint sequence (BPS) of the intron results the bulging out of an unpaired adenosine, on the BPS, which initiates a nucleophilic attack at the intronic 5' splice site, thus starting the first of two transesterification reactions that mediate splicing.
Source: Ensembl
AUAGCUUCUCGGCCUUUUGGCUAAGAUCAAGUGUAGUAUCUGUGAACAGGUUUUUUUAUGUCAUUUGUGCUGUCUCCUGAUUUUUC